UCUUUGCUUAGGCUGAGCUCCUCUCUGUUUAGCUGCUGCUCUCUGCUCACAGAGGAUGAGCUUAAGUACUUGGCUGAAGCAGAAGCUUAUGAGCCAAAAAGGAGCUGGAAACAUCUUCACAAAAUGCACUGAAUGCACCAGAAAACCUAUCAAGAGCUGGAAAAAAGACUUUAGACAUUUACAGAGCCACAAGAUCCUUAUGUGCUGCUUGGCUUUGGAUGAUCUCAUCAUGAAGAAACAAGAAGAUAGAAUAGAAAAGUGAAAAAUGUUUGCAUAGUAACAAUUCUCAUCCUCCCUGAGCACAAAAGCUGUACUCCCUUGUCCUAAGAGAAACUGAGCUCUGCAGAACCUGAGUGAGAGCUGGCUGUUAAGGAAAACCAUUGCUGGAUUCCAUAAGUUACAUCAUAGUCCAUGUCCCAUCAACUUAAAAAGACCAGUAUAAUAGAUCACCUAAUUUCUUCUGUGUUGACUUUGGAAUUGAGUGACUUCUGUACAGACCAGCAAUAAAUUCUAAGACAAGGAA
Long non-coding RNA from Pogoniulus pusillus (Red-fronted tinkerbird), 523 nucleotides. RefSeq lists it as uncharacterized. Lineage: Eukaryota; Metazoa; Chordata; Aves; Piciformes; Lybiidae. The record is from RefSeq and is a predicted model, not a curated record. The transcript is spliced from 3 exons.